CCUACGAGGCGCAGCAGUGGGGAAUAUUGGACAAUGGGCGAAAGCCUGAUCCAGCCAUGCCGCGUGUGUGAAGAAGGCCUUCGGGUUGUAAAGCACUUUCAGUGGGGAAGAAAGCCUUGGGGCUAAUACCCUCGAGGAAGGACAUCACCCACAGAAGAAGCACCGGCUAACUCCGUGCCAGCAGCCGCGGUAAUACGGAGGGUGCGAGCGUUAAUCGGAAUUACUGGGCGUAAAGCGCGCGUAGGCGGUCUGAUAAGCCGGUUGUGAAAGCCCCGGGCUCAACCUGGGAACGGCAUCCGGAACUGUCAGGCUAGAGUGCAGGAGAGGAAGGUAGAAUUCCCGGUGUAGCGGUGAAAUGCGUAGAGAUCGGGAGGAAUACCAGUGGCGAAGGCGGCCUUCUGGACUGACACUGACGCUGAGGUGCGAAAGCGUGGGUAGCAAACAGGAUUAGAUACCCGAGUAGUC
This 465-nucleotide ribosomal RNA is filed under the name Vreelandella stevensii. Its description in RNAcentral is "partial 16S ribosomal RNA". It matches the Rfam family "Bacterial small subunit ribosomal RNA", at positions 338 to 795 of the family's 1533-position model. Lineage: Bacteria; Pseudomonadati; Pseudomonadota; Gammaproteobacteria; Oceanospirillales; Halomonadaceae. The record is from RNAcentral.